This 733-nucleotide long non-coding RNA is filed under the name Zonotrichia albicollis (white-throated sparrow). RNAcentral's name for it is "lncRNA (ENSZALG00000013109.1)". The record is from RNAcentral. Lineage: Eukaryota; Metazoa; Chordata; Aves; Passeriformes; Passerellidae.
GUUCAGCCAAGAUCCUCUGGAGGUGAGGGAUAAAGCAUCUAGGCUGCUCAGCCAUGGCCCAUUGUGCUGGUUUGAGUUUGAAUGGUUUAAUUGACACUUUACCUGCUUUAAAUCACCAGCAAGGUCCAACAGGACAGUCAGGACCAGGAAGCCUUCUCCUUCUUUCAAGGGUGAUCUGGAAUGUGGAUGAAUUUCCAUGAGGAAUGGGAAGAGCCUUGCAGCUGGAUUCCCUCAGAAGACGUCAGGAUUCAAGGAGCAGAGUGAACGUUACCCCAGAGCAGGUCAAUGACAAUGCCACCCUUCUGGGUGACCCUUGGGGAUGGGUGGAGAAUGCCAAGGUUUGACCUUUUCCUCUCUGCUGAUUCUUGCCUUCUCCCUGAAGAUGGAAGAAGUUUCUCUCUGCAGUCUUCAGUGCAUCCUGCAGCAUCUGGGGAGAAGGUCCUGCCUCCGCCCUCAUCUCCAGCUUCCUCGCAAAAUCCCAAACCGUCUUCAGCUGGGAAUUACAUUGUCAUUUUGGAUACCUGGUGGUGAAAAAGCAGAGGAGAAACCUCUGCAGCUGCUGCGGGACAGCUUGGCUGGGAUUUUGGGAGGAUUAUUUUGUUAUGGACUCCAAAAAUAACUCAGACUCAUGUGUUUGCUGAUGCCUGUGUGCUCCCCCAUCAUCCUCGCACAGGUAAGUCCCAAAUGCAGUUUUAAUUUAAAAUUGUCUCAUGUAACAAUAAGAAAGCUUUCA